Molecule: non-coding RNA, 258 nt
Filed under: Paenibacillus sp.
Lineage: Bacteria; Bacillati; Bacillota; Bacilli; Caryophanales; Paenibacillaceae
Description: T-box sequence
Rfam family: T-box leader
About the family: Uncharged tRNA acts as the effector for transcription antitermination of genes in the T-box leader family. T-boxes are found upstream of many aminoacyl-tRNA synthetase genes and some amino acid biosynthetic genes usually in Gram-positive bacteria.
Source: RNAcentral
CAAAAAGCGAUGAGUGGGAAGAGUAGGUUACGUACGCAAGGAAAGCGAGUCGGGGAUUGGUGCGAGCCCGAUCUUUGCAGUAAUGGAAAAUCACCCAGGAGCAUUCUCUUGAACCAGCAGUAGAGAGGAUCGGCUAAUCCCGUUAACGAUUGUUGAGUGAAGGCUAUUGGGCUGCAAGCCGGAGAUUUCUGAACAGAAGUCUGGCGCACAGCUGCAAGUCUUAAUCAGGGUGGUAACGCGAGGCUUCUCGUCCCUAUG